Molecule: long non-coding RNA, 1188 nt
Filed under: Equus asinus (donkey)
Lineage: Eukaryota; Metazoa; Chordata; Mammalia; Perissodactyla; Equidae
Description: lncRNA (ENSEASG00005032249.1)
Source: RNAcentral
GGGAAAGGCAGUUGGUGGGGUGGGGGUGGGGAGGGGGAGCAGGCACAGCAGCCCUUGGGUGGUCACCAGCUCCCUUUCCCAGAAGGUCGCAUUUGCUUGGGAGACUCUGCUCUUGAGGAUGAAUCCUAAAAGGCUGGCAAAGAAGAGAGAAGCUAGUCAUCCUUUAGGGUGACUUCUGGGAAUUCACUAGGAUUCCCUGCCUUUGCUAUCUGGACACAGACAAGAUGCUGGGUUUCUGAAGGUUGCAAACGCUGGCACCUGGAGAAAAGAAGGAAAGUAAAUGACUGAGGCAGAGCAUGGAGGGUGGGCCUUCGGGCAAAGAAAGCCUGGCUGGAGAGCGAGUGACGAGUGCUCAUCGACUGCGAGUUCUUCAGAAGCCAGAGAGGUAUUACCCCCCAAUAAAUCUCCUGCACUUUGAAUUCUGUCUUGGUAUCUGCCUCCCAGAGGACCCAAACUGAGAAGGAUCCUGGAUGAAUGCUCAGUGUCUGGACUCUGUCCUGUUGGCAGUGAGGAACCACUGAGGUCUUUUAAACAGGGGAAGCCAUGAUCAGAUCUGAAUUUUGUGAAAGUAAUCCAGCAGCAAAGGAAGGAAUGAACCAGUGGGGAGAAAAGGAGUGGUGAAAGGACCAUUUAAAAGGACACUGCAUUUAUUGGUACAAGGUUUUGACAAGAGGCAACUGGCAGCAUGUAUAAUUUACUAUGUACGUACUCUUUAGCUCAAUGAUCCCAAUUUUAGAAAUCCUAUAGAAACACUGGCACAAAUGCAUAAAAGUAUUAGGAUGAGGAUGUUAACAGUAGCCUCAUAUAUAUUAGCAUGGCACUGGCACAUUCACCUGUAGGAAGAAAGACAAAAAAAUGGUACAGCCGUGCAGUGGAAUCACAUCACACAGCCUCUAAAAAGAAUCCAGUAGGUCUCUUUGUACUGUCUUAGAAAGAGGUACACAACAUAUCACUAUUUGUAAAAAACCAGUUGUUGAAAAAGUAUACAGCAUGAUCCAAUUUUCAGCAACAAAAUUGUGCAUAUGUAUAUCUUUUACAUUUUUUGUAUAAAUAAGUCUGGAAGGAGAUACAUCAACUGUUGACAGAGGUUACUUCUUGGGGUGGUAGGGCUUUCAUUUUUUACUUUAUGUGUUUUUACAGUAGUAAUGGAGAGAUUCUGGCUUGUUUUUUGGUAUUUUUCUGUAUUUU